RNAcentral lists this ribosomal RNA (253 nucleotides) under uncultured bacterium. RNAcentral's name for it is "partial 16S ribosomal RNA". It matches the Rfam family "Bacterial small subunit ribosomal RNA", at positions 524 to 776 of the family's 1533-position model. The record is from RNAcentral.
UACAGAGGAGCCAAGCGUUGUCCGGAUUGACUGGGCGUAAAGCGCACGCAGGCGGUCGCGCGCGUGGGGUGUGAAAUCUGGCCGCUUAACGGCCAGGCGCCAUCCCAUACGGCGCGACUGGAGUGAUGCAGAGGUCGGUGGAAUUGCCGGUGUAGUGGUGAAAUGCGUAGAGAUCGGCAGGAACACCCAGGGGGAAACCAGCCGACUGGGCAUCAACUGACACUCAUGGACGAAAGCUAGGGGAGCGAAAGGG